Molecule: ribosomal RNA, 468 nt
Filed under: uncultured Clostridium sp.
Lineage: Bacteria; Bacillati; Bacillota; Clostridia; Eubacteriales; Clostridiaceae
Description: bacterial SSU rRNA
Rfam family: Bacterial small subunit ribosomal RNA
Source: RNAcentral
UUGACGGGGCCCGCACAAGCAGCGGAGCAUGUGGUUUAAUUCGAAGCAACGCGAAGAACCUUACCUAGACUUGACAUCUCCUGAAUUACCCGUAACUGGGGAAGCUCUUCGGAGCAGGAAGACAGGUGGUGCAUGGUUGUCGUCAGCUCGUGUCGUGAGAUGUUGGGUUAAGUCCCGCAACGAGCGCAACCCUUAUCGUUAGUUGCUACCAUUAGGUUGAGCACUCUAGCGAGACUGCCCGGGUUAACCGGGAGGAAGGUGGGGAUGACGUCAAAUCAUCAUGCCCCUUAUGUCUAGGGCUACACACGUGCUACAAUGGUGAGGACAAAGAGACGCAAGACCGCGAGGUGGAGCAAAUCUCACAAACCUCAUCCCAGUUCGGAUUGCAGGCUGAAACUCGCCUGCAUGAAGCCGGAGUUGCUAGUAAUCGCGAAUCAGCAUGUCGCGGUGAAUACGUUCCCGGGCCUU